Molecule: long non-coding RNA, 1625 nt
Organism: Selaginella moellendorffii
Lineage: Eukaryota; Viridiplantae; Streptophyta; Lycopodiopsida; Selaginellales; Selaginellaceae
Exons: 6
Source: RefSeq, a predicted model, not a curated record
CGCCGGUUGACAGGCUACUUCUUUGGCAACGUUGCAAUGCGGCGGCCGGAGGGAUGAGAAAGUUGCAUCGAUUGUGAGCAUCACAAUUCCCUGAAACGCGAGGACAGAUUACUCACAAUGGCAUAUGUUAGAGAGCCGAUAAUGAUCGUCAUGUAUCGGCCCAAGUGAGCAUCCGCAACGUACGCACCCAGCAGCGGAGUGAUGUUGUUCAAGCCAUUGAAGUUAGUCAGAGUCACAGCCGCCUGAACAUUGCUCAUGUUGAGCUGUUGCACGAGGCACAGAAGAACAGUUUGGAGUGAGCCAACGAGACAAGUGUUUACUGUUGUAUUUGUGCCUGAUCACGUGUUUUCUGCAGGGGCUUUGGGAAACAUAACGACAACGCACCUAUGAUGAAGGGGGUAGUUUUCCAGCCCCCCUUGUUCCUCGUCACGGUUUUCAAGCCGUCGAGCUGCUCGUUCUCUGUGGCACUUCCUUGAUCAGAUGGAGUUCGCCUGUUGAAUCUCCGAACCACAAAACCAAGAGAUCUUUGGAGAGAUCCUCGGCCUGCGUGUCAGCAACUUGUUAGUAGCGGCGGGCAUUGUUUGCAACGGGAACAUCAGGAAGAAAACACUCCGAUACUUGAGACUCUCGGACUCUCUCCUCGGAACUAGAGCAGCAACAUCAAACAGACUCAAAACAAACUCAGGCUCAGACGCAGAGAAUGCAAAACUUACACUUACCGCCAACCGCAGCAGGCACAGAGCUUUAGCUCUCGACGAGGCCAACUCCACUUGGAAAUAUCUCUCUCGCAAAAGACUUCAGCAAGUAGCUCAUCGGACGUCUAAGCAAAAUACAACUGGAGCAGGAGCCAAAGGCUAGGCAAACAAGUGCGCUGCUAGCUGGGCUGUGGCUGGACGAGAAACAAGAGGAAGCGACAAAAGGGAAGAGGCGGCCUGGCAAAAGCGCGAAAGACAAAAACAACCAAAUGAGCCGCUACUGCGACUACGAUCUGCAAGCUGAGAACGCGGCCAUGAAUGAGAAUGGUGGGGACGCCGAAUGGGAAUAGAUCAACUUUAAAUGCGCCAGACAGGGAGCAGCCUCUCGCCGCGGCUUUCGUCCAGGAAAACUUGAUCACCCACCAUCGCUCAAGCGGCAGCACAGCAGCACAGCAGCACAGCAGGCUUUUGUGCUCUUGUUCGGUUCGGUUUUUAAUAACGCAGAGAAGAGAAGAGCCAUGAACUUGCAGAUACUGCGGCGUUUAUAGCCUUCCUUUGAAAGCUUCACAUUCGAUCCAGAUUUAAUGCAGCGAACCUGUGCGUCAUCGCGCAAAAGCUAUACGAGCUUUUCCAUCGCUGGAAAGCUUUUAGCUGCACUUCCCGAAAGAUUCACUCUUUCCUUGUUUCGCUGUGUACCACGCCAGGCGUCGCUCCACCUCGUGGCUACAAGUGCGUCCGGUCAAUUUGGCAAGAGCAUUGCUUUUCCUCUUUGGCCACGUUGAUAAGGCUGCAAACGCUCUGUCCAGUUUUUCGGUGGGCGUAAAGGAAUAUUCUGGUCAUGGCCGGUCAAAGUAAUAUAGUUGACCAGAUUGUGGUUGGUCAACGCCCUUUGCAGUUAUCUAAUUAAUUGCACCGUACAAAUUGUAUGUC